GGCGCUGCUGGGUCAGGUCGGCCUGCCGUCGCCCAUCAUGCGACGCGUGCUGGUUCAUGCCCGACUCGGCGCCGCC
Molecule: transfer RNA, 76 nt
Filed under: candidate division BRC1 bacterium ADurb.BinA292
Lineage: Bacteria; Candidatus Sumerlaeota
Description: tRNA-Asp
Source: RNAcentral